RNAcentral lists this ribosomal RNA (625 nucleotides) under Brevibacterium aureum. Its description in RNAcentral is "bacterial SSU rRNA". It matches the Rfam family "Bacterial small subunit ribosomal RNA", at positions 217 to 852 of the family's 1533-position model. The record is from RNAcentral. Lineage: Bacteria; Bacillati; Actinomycetota; Actinomycetes; Micrococcales; Brevibacteriaceae.
GAUCGGGGAUGGGCUCGCGGCCUAUCAGCUUGUUGGUGGGGUAAUGGCCUACCAAGGCGACGACGGGUAGCCGGCCUGAGAGGGCGACCGGCCACACUGGGACUGAGACACGGCCCAGACUCCUACGGGAGGCAGCAGUGGGGAAUAUUGCACAAUGGGGGAAACCCUGAUGCAGCGACGCAGCGUGCGGGAUGACGGCCUUCGGGUUGUAAACCGCUUUCAGCAGGGAAGAAGCGAAAGUGACGGUACCUGCAGAAGAAGUACCGGCUAACUACGUGCCAGCAGCCGCGGUAAUACGUAGGGUACGAGCGUUGUCCGGAAUUAUUGGGCGUAAAGAGCUCGUAGGUGGUUGGUCACGUCUGCUGUGGAAACGCAACGCUUAACGUUGCGCGGGCAGUGGGUACGGGCUGACUAGAGUGCAGUAGGGGAGUCUGGAAUUCCUGGUGUAGCGGUGAAAUGCGCAGAUAUCAGGAGGAACACCGGUGGCGAAGGCGGGACUCUGGGCUGUAACUGACACUGAGGAGCGAAAGCAUGGGGAGCGAACAGGAUUAGAUACCCUGGUAGUCCAUGCCGUAAACGUUGGGCACUAGGUGUGGGGGGCAUUCCACGUUCUCCGCGCCGUAGC